Molecule: ribosomal RNA, 253 nt
Filed under: uncultured bacterium
Lineage: Bacteria
Description: partial 16S ribosomal RNA
Rfam family: Bacterial small subunit ribosomal RNA
Source: RNAcentral
UACAGAGGGUGCAAGCGUUGUUCGGAAUUAUUGGGCGUAAAGGGCGCGUAGGCGGUGCGGUAAGUCUGUAGUGAAAUCUCUGGGCUCAACUCAGAGUCUGCUGCAGAAACUGCCGCGCUCGAGUGCGAGAGAGGUCAGUGGAAUUGCAGGUGUAGCGGUGAAAUGCGUAGAUAUCUGCAGGAACACCCGUGGCGAAGGCGGCUGACUGGAUCGCAACUGACACUGAGGAACGAAAGCUAGGGGAGCAAACAGG